This 305-nucleotide ribosomal RNA is filed under the name uncultured bacterium. Its description in RNAcentral is "bacterial SSU rRNA". It matches the Rfam family "Bacterial small subunit ribosomal RNA", at positions 336 to 639 of the family's 1533-position model. The record is from RNAcentral.
UUCCUACGGGACGCAGCAGUGAGGAAUAUUGGUCAAUGGUCGGGAGACUGAACCAGCCAAGCCGCGUGAGGGAGGAAGGUACAGAGUAUCGUAAACCUCUUUUGUCAGGGAACAAAGACUGGGACGCGUCCCCGGAUGAGUGUACCUGAAGAAAAAGCAUCGGCUAACUCCGUGCCAGCAGCCGCGGUAAUACGGAGGAUGCGAGCGUUAUCCGGAUUUAUUGGGUUUAAAGGGUGCGUAGGCGGACUGUUAAGUCAGCGGUAAAAGCCCGGGGCUCAACCCCGGCGAGCCGUUGAAACUGGCUG